Sinocyclocheilus rhinocerous is the source of this 532-nucleotide long non-coding RNA. RefSeq lists it as uncharacterized. NCBI's taxonomy places the organism in Eukaryota, Metazoa, Chordata, Actinopteri, Cypriniformes, Cyprinidae. The transcript has 3 exons. The record is from RefSeq and is a predicted model, not a curated record.
GCAGCGGCAGUCAUUUUGAGCUCUGUUCCUUUCUCUUUUUAAAAAAAAAAAAUCUAUAAAUUGUGAGAAUGCCAGUAAAUCACCUACUCGUAUCACUUAUUUUUCUACUUACCUUCAAAACAGUGUCCUUUGCUGAAAUCCAGCCCCAGAAUCGGUCUGUGCGUGCAGGGGACCGUUUUGAGUUUGUUCAGAGAGAAGAGCUUCCACAGUUUUUACAGUUAAUCUGGAUGAAAACACCUUUUUCCAGAAAUCACUCAGAAACCAUUGUGACAUACUACAAUAAGACUAAAGCCACUGACCCUGCCAGUUCGUACAAGGACAGAGUGGUGUUCAAUACUACAAAUUUCUCUCUAACACUGAUGGGAAUGCAGAAGACAGACAGCGGACUUUACUGCACAACAACAAUUGGAAAAAAAACCAAAACUGUUUGUCAGUAUAAUGUAUCUGUUGUUGAUAACCACGGAUCACCCACUACCAUUUUUCUUCCUUGGAUAUUACUUACCUCUACACUGACUACAAUAAUGUUCUAAAU